Schistocerca americana (American grasshopper) is the source of this 194-nucleotide long non-coding RNA. RefSeq lists it as uncharacterized. The transcript has 3 exons. NCBI's taxonomy places the organism in Eukaryota, Metazoa, Arthropoda, Insecta, Orthoptera, Acrididae. The record is from RefSeq and is a predicted model, not a curated record.
AUUUCAUCCCUUCAGAUCACUCUGUGAUUUGUGAGCUGCAUUUCCAUGCACACGAAAUAGAAAGAAGUACAUCGUCAUAUGAUGCUAAGACUGGAAGAUUAAUUACACGCCUCUUGAUCGUCCACGUUUAAGGAAAGGUGCAAUACCAGCACUAUUGCCAGGAUGUCCUGAUUAUUUAUCUACACCAUAAGAAG